AUGCCGUUGGAGUUGGUGUGUUGGAAUGUGCGUGGUCUAAAUAGUUCGGCGAGGAGAGAUGCUCUUAGAGAACUAGCGGACACGAUGAAGGUCGCUAUUUGGUGUAUAUUGGAGACUAAACUUGAACUUGUAGACCAGUUUGUGAUCAUGCAAUAUCUUGGGCCAUCUUAUGAUGGUUUUGCCUAUCUUCCUGCCUUGGCGACUCGGGGUGGUAUU
Molecule: ribosomal RNA, 216 nt
Filed under: Triticum aestivum (bread wheat)
Lineage: Eukaryota; Viridiplantae; Streptophyta; Magnoliopsida; Poales; Poaceae
Description: partial small subunit ribosomal RNA
Source: RNAcentral